Molecule: long non-coding RNA, 1502 nt
Filed under: Scleropages formosus (Asian bonytongue)
Lineage: Eukaryota; Metazoa; Chordata; Actinopteri; Osteoglossiformes; Osteoglossidae
Description: lncRNA (ENSSFOG00015025419.1)
Source: RNAcentral
GCUGAGAAGAAACCAGAGAAAGCGCAUCCCUGCCAGACGGAUUCCUCUUCCCAAACAUUCUUUUGGUUUAGUCCCUCACUGGAUCAUGUGACAAAUGUGAAGAAAUUAUCGUAAUAUGAUCAAGAAUGCCUUUGCACUGAAUUAUUAUAUAAGAAGAUGGUAUGUAUUAACAGAAACUGUUGUACCAAGGGUCUCACUUUUUGAGCAGCUGUUAUUCUUUAUAGUCUCCAAGAGGGUUAUGGUCUAAUAGAUGUAUUUAUGUGAGGUGAUCUGUUUGCGGGGAAGCAAAGGUAGGGAACUGGAGCAAGAACAAGGGGACAGUGAUAGACAUAUGGGAAAACUAAUUAUAAAUAGUGGGCAUCAUCGAAGUUUGAGAUUGAAUUUCUAAUGGAGGACAUACCAAUGAAUGUUGCGUUCCUCUGGCUGUCAUGAAGUGGGACUUUGAGUCUGACUGUAGACUAGAGUGGGAGGUAAUAGGGGCAUUUAAUGCCACCCGGUAUCAAAGGGAUGAUGGAACAUCCCCUGCAUUACUUUGUAAAAUCUUGGUUGAAAAUUAAUGGAGAGCACCAGCAGCUGUAAUUGUUUCAGGAGCUGUAUCUCCCAGAAAAAGAAAGACUGGGGGCGGGGACUAAAAUACCUGUAAAAGUAAGACUGAACAAAGUUGGCCCUCCUGGUGGAACAGCAAAUAAAUACUGUACCAUAGCAUAAGUAAUCUGUUUUUUUUUUUUUUUUUUUGAAAGCAAUAACAAGCUUUUCUUGUCACCAGAAUUAUCGUGAUCUUGUUUCUAUGGAAACAGUUGAUUCUGUUGAUCUGUCAGACAAAAUGAAGGUUACUCUAUGAGGAGGGAAGAAGAUGGACUUCUUCAUGCUUCAGCCCUUCUCUUAUCCACCUGCUACUUCCUGAGAUCUGUUUCUGCCAUGAUUUUGGAAAGCAACCUUAGUCUUUGUAAACAAGUCCACCAUUCAAAACCCAAUGGAAAUACAGGUUACCUGUGAGAAGUAGAAGAAAAUCCAAACUGCAGGAAAGGGUGAGCUGGCUCUUGAUUACUUAUGGUCACCAUUUUGCUCUUCUGAAAUGUAUAGUAAUCUCAUCGAGUUUGCAACCUGAGCAGAACUGACCCUGUACGAAUCCUACCUUUUCCCUGCUUUGAGUAAGGAUUUUAUCUACCUUAUGGUCCUGUGACUGAGGAAACGAUAUGGUGUGUGAUUUUUGCAACACAUGGACUGCUACUGAACUCACUAUUAUUGGUACAAUCCUGGCUGUACUGUUAGGUUACUCUUGUGAUACCUUACGCUUUUGAAUCUUCACUAAAAAGAGUACAACAUAUAGUACAGAAGCUUCCAAGAGUAUAAAUAAGCAAAAGAAAGUAAAAUCUGGCAAAGUUAGUUGAUAUGAUCCCUGGAAAGGGGUCCAUCUGAUGCAGUUCCCUCACAGCAACAGGAGGAUCGAUGUUUUGUGCACCAGUUGAUCUCAUAGGGUUUCUGGUUACAACUUGCUCUUG